Molecule: long non-coding RNA, 212 nt
Filed under: Vitis vinifera (wine grape)
Lineage: Eukaryota; Viridiplantae; Streptophyta; Magnoliopsida; Vitales; Vitaceae
Description: long non-coding RNA (VVIN_LNC004695)
Source: RNAcentral
CGACCACUGCCUAAGUGGAAUCAACCUAUUUAAACAAUAUCCAAGUCAUAUGAAGUCCAAUUUUUUUUUUAAAACUUCAAAGAAGUGGAGAUUUGGGAGGGUACAAAGAAUGUGAGGAUUCCUCACAUUCUUCGUACAUUUUCUAAUUUUUUAGUUUUUUUGGCUUUUAAUUUUUCCGGGACUUAUUCGAACACUGCCUAAGUGGAAUCAAC